This 521-nucleotide ribosomal RNA is filed under the name Nocardia testacea. Its description in RNAcentral is "bacterial SSU rRNA". It matches the Rfam family "Bacterial small subunit ribosomal RNA", at positions 372 to 903 of the family's 1533-position model. The record is from RNAcentral. Lineage: Bacteria; Bacillati; Actinomycetota; Actinomycetes; Mycobacteriales; Nocardiaceae.
UGGGCGGAAGCCUGAUGCAGCGACGCCGCGUGAGGGAUGACGGCCUUCGGGUUGUAAACCUCUUUCGACUCCGACGAAGCGAGAGUGACGGUAGGAGUAUAAGAAGCACCGGCCAACUACGUGCCAGCAGCCGCGGUAAUACGUAGGGUGCGAGCGUUGUCCGGAAUUACUGGGCGUAAAGAGCUUGUAGGCGGCUUGUCGCGUCGAUCGUGAAAACUCGGGGCUCAACCCCGAGCUUGCGGUCGAUACGGGCAGGCUUGAGUACUUCAGGGGAGACUGGAAUUCCUGGUGUAGCGGUGAAAUGCGCAGAUAUCAGGAGGAACACCGGUGGCGAAGGCGGGUCUCUGGGAAGUAACUGACGCUGAGAAGCGAAAGCGUGGGUAGCGAACAGGAUUAGAUACCCUGGUAGUCCACGCCGUAAACGGUGGGUACUAGGUGUGGGUUUCCUUCCACGGGAUCCGUGCCGUAGCUAACGCAUUAAGUACCCCGCCUGGGGAGUACGGCCGCAAGGCUAAAACUCA